UGGGGCCACUGCACCACAUGCCCUUCAUCCUCUAACAGGCUAGUUGAGCUUGUCUGCAUGACAGAGGCAGAUUCUCAGGCCAGGGCAGAAGCUGCGGGGCCACGUGAGGUCUGAGCUUAGAACUGGAGCAAUGGCCCAUCUACCCUAUUCUAGCAGCUAAAGCAAACCACAGAGGCCAGGACUGAUUCCAGGUGCCUGUGAGUUCACUCAACACAACUCUUCUAUCCCAUACUCCAGCUGACAGACUCCUGGGACACCAUCUACCCCUCUUACAUAUAUUCCCAGUACAGUUUCUACUGAUACCUGAAUGGUGAGCCAAAGUUCUUCCCAGGAUUGUGUCUCACAAAGUUGAAGAAUAAAAUCAUGG
Eptesicus fuscus (big brown bat) is the source of this 367-nucleotide long non-coding RNA. RefSeq lists it as uncharacterized. The record is from RefSeq and is a predicted model, not a curated record. The transcript has 3 exons. NCBI's taxonomy places the organism in Eukaryota, Metazoa, Chordata, Mammalia, Chiroptera, Vespertilionidae.